This 471-nucleotide ribosomal RNA is filed under the name Candidatus Aalborgicola defluviihabitans. Its description in RNAcentral is "partial 23S ribosomal RNA". It matches the Rfam family "Bacterial large subunit ribosomal RNA", at positions 2456 to 2925 of the family's 2925-position model. Lineage: Bacteria; Pseudomonadati; Pseudomonadota; Betaproteobacteria; Burkholderiales; Comamonadaceae. The record is from RNAcentral.
AUAAAAGGUACUCUGGGGAUAACAGGCUGAUACCGCCCAAGAGUUCAUAUCGACGGCGGUGUUUGGCACCUCGAUGUCGGCUCAUCUCAUCCUGGGGCUGUAGCCGGUCCCAAAGGUAUGGCUGUUCGCCAUUUAAAGAGGUACGUGAGCUGAGUUUAAAACGUCGUGAGACAGUUUGGUCCCUAUCUUCCGUGGGCGCUGCAGAUUUGAGGAAGCCUGCUCCUAGUACGAGAGGACCGGAGUGGACACACCUCUGGUGUAUCGGUUGUCACGCCAGUGGCAUUGCCGAGUAGCUAAGUGUGGAAGAGAUAACCGCUGAAAGCAUCUAAGCGGGAAACUCGUUUCAAGAUGAGAUCUGCCGGGGCCUUGGGCCUAAAGAGUCGUUCAAGACCAGGACGUUGAUAGGUCGGGUGUGGAAGCGCAGUAAUGCGUUAAGCUAACCGAUACUAAUUGCUCGUGCGGCUUGACCCU